This 497-nucleotide ribosomal RNA is filed under the name uncultured bacterium. RNAcentral describes it as "partial 16S ribosomal RNA". It matches the Rfam family "Bacterial small subunit ribosomal RNA", at positions 28 to 507 of the family's 1533-position model. The record is from RNAcentral.
GAUGAACGCUGGAGGCGUGCCUAAUACAUGCAAGUCGAGCGAACAGACGAGGAGCUUGCUCCUUCGACGUUAGCGGCGGACGGGUGAGUAACACGUAGGUAACCUACCUAUAAGACUGGGAUAACUUCGGGAAACCGGAGCUAAUACCGGAUAAUAUUUCGAACCGCAUGGUUCGAUAGUGAAAGAUGGCUUUGCUAUCACUUAUAGAUGGACCUGCGCCGUAUUAGCUAGUUGGUAAGGUAACGGCUUACCAAGGCAACGAUACGUAGCCGACCUGAGAGGGUGAUCGGCCACACUGGAACUGAGACACGGUCCAGACUCCUACGGGAGGCAGCAGUAGGGAAUCUUCCGCAAUGGGCGAAAGCCUGACGGAGCAACGCCGCGUGAGUGAUGAAGGUCUUCGGAUCGUAAAACUCUGUUAUUAGGGAAGAACAAACGUGUAAGUAACUGUGCACGUCUUGACGGUACCUAAUCAGAAAGCCACGGCUAACUACGUG